This 276-nucleotide unclassified non-coding RNA is filed under the name Glomus sp. Its description in RNAcentral is "partial contains 5.8S ribosomal RNA and internal transcribed spacer 2". The stretch from base 1 to 72 matches the Rfam family "5.8S ribosomal RNA", at positions 84 to 154 of the family's 154-position model. The record is from RNAcentral. Lineage: Eukaryota; Fungi; Glomeromycota; Glomeromycetes; Glomerales; Glomeraceae.
GUGAAUCAUCAAAUUUUUGAACGCAAAUUGCACUCUCCGGUUUUCCGGGAGAGUAUGCCUGUUUGAGGGUCUGUUUAAAAAUUAAUCGCGGCUGCUGCUGUGGUGGUGCUUCGGAAUUGGGUCAUCUUCCACCUUUCGGGGUUGUAAGCGACCUAAAAUUUUUCUUACGAUUUCUACGUAUGUGUUUAAGGAUUUCUUGUACGUUAGCGACAUAGAAAUCAUAUUAGGUGCGAACGCGGCGUCGGGUUCGCUCCUUUAAUGUAUCAGAGAAGGACC